RNAcentral lists this ribosomal RNA (301 nucleotides) under uncultured bacterium. RNAcentral describes it as "partial 16S ribosomal RNA". It matches the Rfam family "Bacterial small subunit ribosomal RNA", at positions 509 to 807 of the family's 1533-position model. The record is from RNAcentral.
CAGCAGCCGCGGUAACACGGAGGGUGCAAGCGUUAUCCGGAUUUAUUGGGUUUAAAGGGUCCGUAGGCGGAUCUGUAAGUCAGUGGUGAAAUCUCACAGCUUAACUGUGAAACUGCCAUUGAUACUGCAGGUCUUGAGUAAAUUUGAAGUGGCUGGAAUAAGUAGUGUAGCGGUGAAAUGCAUAGAUAUUACUUAGAACACCAAUUGCGAAGGCAGGUCACUAAGAUUUAACUGACGCUGAUGGACGAAAGCGUGGGGAGCGAACAGGAUUAGAUACCCCUGUAGUCCCUGUCUCUUAUAC